This 492-nucleotide ribosomal RNA is filed under the name uncultured bacterium. RNAcentral's name for it is "partial 16S ribosomal RNA". It matches the Rfam family "Bacterial small subunit ribosomal RNA", at positions 29 to 507 of the family's 1533-position model. The record is from RNAcentral.
AGUGAACGCUGGCGGUAGGCCUAACACAUGCAAGUCGAACGGCAGCACAGUAAGAGCUUGCUCUUACGGGUGGCGAGUGGCGGACGGGUGAGGAAUAUAUCGGAAUCUACUUUUUCGUGGGGGAUAACGUAGGGAAACUUACGCUAAUACCGCAUACGACCUACGGGUGAAAGCAGUGGAUCUUCGGACCUUGCGCGAUUGAAUGAGCCGAUGUCGGAUUAGCUAGUUGGCGGGGUAAAGGCCCACCAAGGCGCCGAUCCGUAGCUGGUCUGAGUGGAUGAUCAGCCACACUGGAACGGGGACACGGUCAAGACUCCUACGGGAGGCAGCAGUGGGGAAUAUUGGGCAAUGGGCGCAAGCCUGAUCCAGCCAUACCGCGUGGGUGAAGAAGGCCUUCGGGUUGUAAAGCCCUUUUGUUGGGAAAGAAAAGCAGCAGGUUAAUACCCCGCUGUUCUGACGGUACCCAAAGAAUAAGCACCGGCUAACUUCGUG